GCCGUGUGUAGGAAAGUCCGGACAGCACAGGACAGCCCGCUGCUUGUUAAAGGCAGGCUUUUAAUCGGCAACGAUUAAAUGACGGCAAGUGCAACAGAAAGUAAACCGGCCCCGAUUUUUCGGGGUAAAGGGUGAAAUGGUGAGGUAAGAGCUCACCGGCUUUGUAAGUGAUUGCAAAGGCCGGGCAAACCCCGGGCGCUGAAAGGCCGCGUAAACUUUGGCUUGAGGGUUGUUCGCCCGAUCAAAGAGGGUAGGCCGAAUAGAUAAAUGAUGGCUCGCGACAGAAUCCGGCUUAUCGAACAAUU
Molecule: RNase P RNA, 305 nt
Filed under: uncultured Salibacter sp.
Lineage: Bacteria; Pseudomonadati; Bacteroidota; Flavobacteriia; Flavobacteriales; Salibacteraceae
Description: Bacterial RNase P class A
Rfam family: Bacterial RNase P class A
About the family: Ribonuclease P (RNase P) is a ubiquitous endoribonuclease, found in archaea, bacteria and eukarya as well as chloroplasts and mitochondria.
Source: RNAcentral